GUGGACGCCGGGGGAGCUGGGCCAGCCUGGCUGAUGUGGAGCGGACACGGAUAGAGGGCAGUUGUAUGUGCGCGGGAUCGGAGACCUGUGUACCAGCUGGGUGGCUGUGUGUAUGCCCAGGUCCAAGUGAUAGACUGAGUGGGCAUCUCCUGCCUUUUCAUGUCUGUUAAGUCAGUAGCAUGAUAAUGACAUCGCAGCAAGGCCUCCAGCGGCCAGCGCAUGAUAAUGAUAUCGCAGCAAGUCCUCCAGCAGCCUGCGCAUGAUAAUGACAUCACAGCAAGUCCUCCAGCAGCCUGCGCAUGAUAAUGACAUCACAGCAAGACCUCCAGCGGCCAGCGCAUGAUAAUCACAUCACAGCAAGUCCUCCAGCAGCCUGCGCAUGAUAAUGACAUCACAGCAAGACCUCCAGCAGCCUGCGCAUGAUAAUGACAUCACAGCAAGACCUCCAGCGGCCAGCGCAUGAUAAUGACAUCACAGCAAGUCCUCCAGCAGCCUGCGCAUGAUAAUGACAUCACAGCAAGACCUCCAGCGGCCAGCGCAUGAUAAUGACAUCACAGCAAGUCCUCCAGCAGCCUGCGCAUGAUAAUGACAUCACAGCAAGUCCUCUAGCAGCCUGCGCAUGAUAAUGACAUCACAGCAAGACCUCCAGCGGCCAGCGCAUGAUAAUCACAUCACAGCAAGUCCUCCAGCAGCCUGCGCAUGAUAAUGACAUCACAGCACGACCUCCAGCAGCCUGCGCAUGAUAAUGACAUCACAGCAAGACCUCCAGCGGCCAGCGCAUGAUAAUGAUAUCGCAGCAAGUCCUCCAGCGGCCAGCGCAUGAUAAUGAUAUCGCAGCAAGACCUCCAGCGGCCAGCGCAUGAUAAUGAUAUCGCAGCAAGUCCUCCAGCGGCCAGCGCAUGAUAAUGAUAUCGCAGCAAGUCCUCCAGCGGCCAGCGCAUGAUAAUGAUAUCGCAGCAAGACCUCCAGCGGCCAGCGCAUGAUAAUGAUAUCGCAGCAAGUCCUCCAGCGGCCAGCGCAUGAUAAUGAUAUCACAGCAAGUCCUCCAGCAGCCUGCGCAUGAUAAUGAUAUUGCAUCAAAUCCACCAGCAGCCUGUACAUGAUAAUGACAUCGCAGCAAGACCUCCAGCAGCCUGUGCAUGAUAAUGACAUCACAAAAAGUCCUCCAGUGGCCUGCGCAUGAUAAUGAUAUUGCAUCAAGUCCUCCAGCAGCCUGUACAUGAUAAUAAUAUUGCAGCAAGACCUCCAUUGGCCUGCGCAUGAUAAUGACAUCACAGAAAGGCCUCCAGCAGCCUGGCAUGAUGACAUCACAGCACGACCUCCAGCAGCCUGCGCAUGAUAAUGACAUCACAGCAAGUCAUCCAGCAGCCUGCGCAUGAUAAUGACAUCACAGCAAGUCCCCCAGCGGCCUGCGCAUGAUAAUGAACCUCCAGACUGCACUGAGACUUGAAUGGGGGCAGAUAAAGUAAGAAUAUGCAUCUAAGGCACAUUACAAUGAAUGAGACAAUUAAAAGAAAAAUCUUUGAGUCCCCAGAUAACCCCUUUAAAGUGAAUGGAAAGAACCUUGCAUGUGGUGACCCCUCCAUUACUGGCCAGGCACAUUGUUGUCCCAUUCUAGAGACAGGAGUGGGUCCCAGAUGUGAGACUGUCACCUAUUGGACAUUUAUGGCCGCCCUAUCCUGUGGAUUACAAAUCCUUACUCCUGCUGGUUUUUCAGUUUAUAUCAGAUGCUGUUUUCUGCUGUGUAUUCCCCACUGAUUUGAGAGUUUCUAGGAACAAAUGCAAUGUGUAAUGUGCUAUUCGUACUGACCACAAUAUGGUUCCGGAUAGUAAUACGUUUCUAGGAUAACAUUUUAAUAUCCAAAUUAAAUACAGCAAAUGUUCAACCUGG
Molecule: long non-coding RNA, 1891 nt
Organism: Bufo gargarizans (Asiatic toad)
Lineage: Eukaryota; Metazoa; Chordata; Amphibia; Anura; Bufonidae
Exons: 2
Source: RefSeq, a predicted model, not a curated record